GUAGUCCACGCCCUAAACGAUGCGAACUGGAUGUUGGGCUCAACUCGGAGCUCAGUGUCGAAGCUAACGCGUUAAGUUCGCCGCCUGGGGAGUACGGUCGCAAGACUGAAACUCAAAGGAAUUGACGGGGGCCCGCACAAGCGGUGGAGUAUGUGGUUUAAUUCGAUGCAACGCGCAGAACCUUACCUGGUCUUGACAUGUCUGGAAUCCUGCAGAGAUGCGGGAGUGCCUUCGGGAGCCAGAACACAGGUGCUGCAUGGCUGUCGUCAGCUCGUGUCGUGAGAUGUUGGGUUAAGUCCCGCAACGAGCGCAACCCUUGUCCUUAGUUGCCAGCACGUAAUGGUGGGAAC
Molecule: ribosomal RNA, 350 nt
Filed under: uncultured Rhodanobacteraceae bacterium
Lineage: Bacteria; Pseudomonadati; Pseudomonadota; Gammaproteobacteria; Lysobacterales; Rhodanobacteraceae
Description: bacterial SSU rRNA
Rfam family: Bacterial small subunit ribosomal RNA
Source: RNAcentral